GGUCAAGUGAAUAAGUGCAUGUGGUGGAUGCCUUGGCGAUCACAGGCGAUGAAGGACGUGCAAGCCUGCGAAAAGCGGGGGGGAGCUGGCAAUGGAGCUUUGAUCCCCCGAUGUCCGAAUGGGGAAACCCGGCCCGUAAGGGUCAUCCCUGACUGAAUACAUAGGUCAGCGGAAGCGAACCGAGCGAACUGAAACAUCUAAGUAGCUCGAGGAACAGAAAUCAACCGAGAUUCCCAAAGUAGUGGCGAGCGAACUGGGAGUAGCCUGCACGACUAAACCAUUUACUUAACAAAACGGUCUGGAAAGUCCGACGAUACAGGGUGAUAGUCCCGUAUGUGAAAAGUAAUUGGCGGGUCUGAGCGUGCGACAAGUAGGGCGGGACACGUGAAAUCCUGUUUGAAGAUGGGGGGACCAUCCUCCAAGGCUAAAUACUCGUGAUCGACCGAUAGUGAACCAGUACCGUGAGGGAAAGGCGAAAAGAACCCCGGGAGGGGAGUGAAAUAGAUCCUGAAACCGCAUGCAUACAAACAGUGGGAGCCUCGUAAGGGGUGACUGCGUACCUUUUGUAUAAUGGGUCAGCGACUUACGUUCCGUUGCGAGCUUAACCGAAUAGGGGAGGCGAAGCGAAAGCGAGUCUUAAUAGGGCGCAUAGUAGCGGGGCGUAGACCCGAAACCGGAUGAUCUA
This 685-nucleotide ribosomal RNA is filed under the name Polaromonas sp. RNAcentral's name for it is "partial 23S ribosomal RNA". It matches the Rfam family "Bacterial large subunit ribosomal RNA", at positions 1 to 732 of the family's 2925-position model. The record is from RNAcentral. Lineage: Bacteria; Pseudomonadati; Pseudomonadota; Betaproteobacteria; Burkholderiales; Comamonadaceae.